CCUACGAGAGGCAGCAGCUAAGAAUCUUCCGCAAUGGGCGAAAGCCUGACGGAGCGACACUGCGUGAAUGAAGAAGGUCGAAAGAUUGUAAAAUUCUUUUAUAAAUGAGGAAUAAGCUUUGUAGGAAAUGACAAAGUGAUGACGUUAAUUUAUGAAUAAGCCCCGGCUAAUUACGUGCCAGCAGCCGCGGUAAUACGUAAGGGGCGAGCGUUGUUCGGGAUUAUUGGGCGUAAAGGGUGAGUAGGCGGAUAUAUAAGUCUAUGCAUAAAAUACCACAGCUCAACUGUGGACCUAUGUUGGAAACUAUAUGUCUAGAGUCUGAUAGAGGAAGUUAGAAUUUCUGGUGUAAGGGUGGAAUCUGUUGAUAUCAGAAAGAAUACCGGAGGCGAAGGCGAACUUCUGGGUCAAGACUGACGCUGAGUCACGAAAGCGUAGGGAGCAAACAGGAUUAGAUACCCUGGUAGUCUACGCUGUAAACGAUGCACACUUGGUGUUAACUAAAAGUUAGUACCGAAGCUAACGUGUUAAGUGUGCCGCCUGGGGAGUAUGCUCGCAAGAGUGAAACUCAAAUGAAUUGACGG
This 581-nucleotide ribosomal RNA is filed under the name Borreliella burgdorferi (Lyme disease spirochete). RNAcentral's name for it is "bacterial SSU rRNA". It matches the Rfam family "Bacterial small subunit ribosomal RNA", at positions 338 to 916 of the family's 1533-position model. Lineage: Bacteria; Pseudomonadati; Spirochaetota; Spirochaetia; Spirochaetales; Borreliaceae. The record is from RNAcentral.